This 2170-nucleotide long non-coding RNA is filed under the name Gossypium barbadense (sea-island cotton). RNAcentral describes it as "long non-coding RNA (GBAR_LNC004267)". The record is from RNAcentral. Lineage: Eukaryota; Viridiplantae; Streptophyta; Magnoliopsida; Malvales; Malvaceae.
AAGUUAAAAGAAACAGAAUGAAAGCAAACGAAACAGAGAAGAACAGGGGAGAAAGAAAGGAAAGAAGAAAGAAAAGGGGAAAUAAGGUUUAUGAAGCUUGGAGUUAAUUGGUAAGCUCAAUCAAGUCCUUUUCUCAUAAUUUUGAUAUUUUAAAAGUCUUAAAACAAGUUUUUGAUGAAAUUAAGUUGUUAGUUUGGAAGUUCUUAGGUUUUUAAACAAAGUUCAUGUUGAAUAAAAUGAUGAAAUAGGGGUUUAAUUGAACGAAAUUCAAGUUAGAAUAGAUAUAAGGAUUGAAUAGCAAAGUAAGCUAUAAUUUUUGUGUUUUAGGGACUAGAUUGAGGAAAAUUCGGAAUUAAGAAAAUAUGUUGAAAAUUUAAUAGUUAAAUUUGAGUUUAAAUGAAAUUUGAAUAGGAAUAAGGUGUGAAUUGGUGUUAUAAAUUUGGUUAUUAACAUUUUUCAUCAAAACAGUUUUGGGAAGUAGCAAUGGUCUGACUUUGAAAAUUCACUAAAAAUUUUAUAAAUUGAACUAGAGGAUGAACAAAAUAUGGAAUUAAAGCUUAUUGAGUCUAGUUUCUUAUAGUAGAAACAGUGUAAGCAAUUAAUUGAUGAAUCAAGAGAUAUUUGAAAUUUUGUAAUACUGGUUCGGGGUGAUUUCGAGAUGCCCUGUUUUAACUUUGGAAAAUCAUUAAAAAUUGUACAAAAAUUAUUAUGGAGUGUAGUUUAUAUAUCUGAACUCCUUAAUGAAUCUAGUUUCAAAAUAAAUAAACAAGAACCUUAUUCGAGUUCUGUACAAUGAGAUAAUUUAGUUUUAGUAGAGAGAGGUCAGAACUGUCAAAUGAAAUAACAGGGGAGUAUUUAACGAAUAAACUGUAUUAAAUGGCUAGACCAAAAAUUAUGGAAAUUUUAUGAUUAGAAGAUAUAUGAGUCUAGUUUUAAGGAAAAUUUACGGAUAUUAAUUUGGAGUUUUGUAGCUCAAGAUAUAAAUAAUUUAGUAACAAUGACUCAAGUAGACAGCUUAAUGGUGAAAUUAUAUAUAUAUACAUUAAAAAUGGUUAAAUUUGCAUGUUUAGGCUCAUGAAUUAAAUUGAAUCAUGUUGUAUUGAUGAUUAUAAAUUAUUAUUUUCGUAGCCAAAAAAGAACCUGAAGCAUCAGCAUCGAAAGGAAAGGAGAAAGUCAUCGAGUACUAAAACGGGAGAAUUACGGUGUGUAUUACUAUAAUUCGAAUUUUAAUUAUUAUUGAUUGCUGAAUUUUUUUUAUUGUUAUGUAUGGUAAGUAAGACUUGAGGUAAGUAUGUGAAAUUGAUAUGAAUAUUGAGUGAAAAUGAAAGUGAUGCAAAUUGAAUCAAAUUGAAUUGAAUAAGUGAAUUAUGGAAGAUGUAAUUAUUUGAAAGGCGUAUUGAUUGAAAAAUGAUUGGUGAUUUGAAUUGUGAAUUGAAAGUGAUAUAGGAUUGAGAAAGUGAAUUGAAUACCCUAUUAACUAGUCAGGCUGAGUCGGAUAUAAGUGGCAUGCCAUAGGAUUGGAAGUGUUCAGGGAUACUUCGACCUCGAGUCGAUGAGACACUGGGUGUCACUAUAUUUCUUCGGAUAGAUUCGAUGAGGUACUGGGUACCAACUUUACUUCGGCUAGGCCGAUGAGACACUGGGUGUCAACUAUUACUUCGAACUAUCCGAUGAGGCACUGGGUGCCAUAUUGGUGUGUUUGGUUGGAUCCGUGUAUCCGCCAAAGUCCGAGUUACGUUAAUAGGGUGAAAAAUUGAAAUGUGAAUUUGAGGCAUUGAAACGAGAAAAAUAAAUUGAAUUACGAAUUGAAAUUGGAAUUGUGAUAAUAAGAGAAAAGUAUGAAAUGUAUAUUCAUAAGUGAUAUAAAUUUAAGUUUGAGAAAAUACAUUGAUUUAUGAAUUAGUACAUAUGACAUUAAUUGUUAGGUAUUUUAAUAUUUAUGUUUUUACUAUUGUUGAUAUAAUUUGAAUUAUGGUAAUAUCACUGAGUAUAUCCAUACUCAGCGUACGGUUAUUUCCGUGCGCAGGUUAGUAGAAGUCAAGUGUCCCGGUUCAGCAUCCAGAACAUUCCCGACUCCAACACAAAUUUGGUGAUGUAUAUUUUUCUUUUGGGUAAAGGUGGCAUGUACAUAGGUAUUAUAUAGUCACUUGAAUAUGCAUAUUACUUUGGG